This is a long non-coding RNA of Mus musculus (house mouse), 904 nucleotides long. RefSeq annotates it as predicted gene, 39988. The transcript is spliced from 5 exons. NCBI's taxonomy places the organism in Eukaryota, Metazoa, Chordata, Mammalia, Rodentia, Muridae. The record is from RefSeq and is a predicted model, not a curated record.
UUUCCUCUAAGCCUCUGUGGCUUGGUCCCAGCAUUUCCUGGAUGUGGAUGGAGACAGUUGGCUCCUAUCUGCCUUUCUGAUCUGUCUUCUGGCCUGAGGGAUGAGAUGGUACUGCCUCAUAGAACUACAGUAAAGAAAAACCGGAGACAGCACACAGAAAUGCUGGCACAUGUGGCAACAUGGAUACUGGUGAGGACAUCUUAUGGAAUGAAAGAAGCCAGCCUCAGCACACACUGUGGUCUAUGCUGAGGAACCAGGUCUCUCAUUGAACCCAGGACUCACCACUUGGCAGGCUGGCUGGUCAGCAGGCCCUGGGAAUCCACCUGUCUCCACUUCCCCAGUGCUGAGGUGACAAGCAAGCACUGCCUCAUUUGGCUUCACACAUGGGCACUAGGCACAGAACUCAGGUCUUCAUGCUUGCACGGAGGCAUCCAUUCACAGCGGGAGCAGCAGAUUCGGUUACUGCCUCACGUUCUUCCUCCAUUUGAGGCUUUGUUUCCUGUUACCUGGAGGCAGCUCAGCACCCAACUAGGUUUCUGGCUCACUAUGGAAGGCCCCUACAAAGAGAUGAGAGAGAACCCGCAGAGCUCCACCAGCAUCAGCCACAACAAAACAACCCCAAUCUCUAGGGGCAGGUAACUCUCUCUGUUUGUGGUCCUCAAGUGCAAGCAACUAUCAACUGUGGUGAGGGUUUAUUUAAAUGCACACACCUAAUUUCGUCAUUCCUUGGACACAACACCAACCACCAAGUUGCUGAGUUCCACCGUAUGAGGCAGACAUUUCCAGGGACUGUGUCAAUGUUUAGAGCCCCCUCUCUGUAGAAACUGAAUAUGAUUCACCUUGUAAAUUUGUAUAGUCUGGCAACUACAUUAAAAAGGAAACUAAAACAAAUAAAGAAGCUGUG